RNAcentral lists this ribosomal RNA (377 nucleotides) under uncultured bacterium. Its description in RNAcentral is "partial 16S ribosomal RNA". It matches the Rfam family "Bacterial small subunit ribosomal RNA", at positions 523 to 898 of the family's 1533-position model. The record is from RNAcentral.
AUACGUAGGGGGCGAGCGUUGUCCGGAAUGAUUGGGCGUAAAGGGCGCGUAGGCGGCCUGUUAAGUCUGGAGUGAAAGUCCUGUUUUCAAGAUGGGAAUUGCUUUGGAUACUGAUGGGCUUGAGUGCAGGAGAGGUUAUCGGAAUUCCCGGUGUAGCGGUGAAAUGCGUAGAGAUCGGGAGGAACACCAGUGGCGAAGGCGGGUAACUGGACUGCAACUGACGCUGAGGCGCGAAAGUGUGGGGAGCAAACAGGAUUAGAUACCCUGGUAGUCCACACUGUAAACGAUGAAUGCUAGGUGUAAGAGGUAUCGACCCCUUUUGUGCCGGAGUUAACACAAUAAGCAUUCCGCCUGGGGAGUACGGCCGCAAGGUUGAA